Molecule: ribosomal RNA, 299 nt
Filed under: uncultured bacterium
Lineage: Bacteria
Description: partial 16S ribosomal RNA
Rfam family: Bacterial small subunit ribosomal RNA
Source: RNAcentral
GAUCCUACGGGGGGCAGCAGUAGGGAAUCUUCCACAAUGGACGAAAGUCUGAUGGAGCAACGCCGCGUGAGUGAAGAAGGGUUUCGGCUCGUAAAGCUCUGUUGGUAGGGAAGAAAGAUAGAGGUAGUAACUGGCCUUUAUUUUACGGUAAUUACUUAGAAAGUCACGGCUAACUACGUGCCAGCAGCCGCGGUAAUACGUAGGUGGCAAGCGGUAUCCGGAUUUACUGGGGGUAAAGGGAGCGUAGACGGCGCGGCAAGUCUGAAGUGGAAGGCAGGGGCUUUACCCCUGAACUGCUU